GUCAUACAUCAGUAGAGGUGGGGUGGCAUGAUGGGUAAGAGUGCUUACUGAAUUCAUAUGCUGGCACUGCCACUGAUUUAGCUGGAUGUCCAUGGGAAGGACACUUUACUUCUCUAAUACCAACUUUAUUAAAUUAUUGUGAUGAUUUAGUAAGUUAGAAUAUUAAAAUGCUUAAAAUAGUGUCUGACACAUAGGAAGCAAGCGAGCAUUGAUGAUCAUUAUCUUGUUCCAACAUUCAGGUACACAGGUUCUGGAGGCAUCAUGAUGCAGUUCCAAGAAUUUCCAGAUCCCUUGCAUCUUACGUAUCCUAAAUUUGGAUGAUGAUUUCCUGCCAGAAGAUGGUGAUGGUUUUGGAGAGGGAAGAUCUAGAGUGCAGGCAUUCAAGGAGAUUAAGAUAGAACCUGCAAGACUUCUGUUGACUUGGCAGCAGAAGAUACAAGAAGUUCCACUUCUGCCAUGUUUUACUGGUUGUAAGCAUACUCACUGACACCAAUCCUCCAUUUCUGACUCCUCUGGAACAUAGUUGUCGGCACUUUACUGCAACAACUCCUACCUUUAAUACUAUAUUUAAUUUUUAUUAUGUCCUG
This 587-nucleotide long non-coding RNA is filed under the name Callithrix jacchus (white-tufted-ear marmoset). Its description in RNAcentral is "lncRNA (ENSCJAG00000086855.1)". The record is from RNAcentral. Lineage: Eukaryota; Metazoa; Chordata; Mammalia; Primates; Cebidae.